Molecule: long non-coding RNA, 2384 nt
Filed under: Pogona vitticeps (central bearded dragon)
Lineage: Eukaryota; Metazoa; Chordata; Lepidosauria; Squamata; Agamidae
Description: lncRNA (ENSPVIG00000018398.1)
Source: RNAcentral
UUGCAAGCCCAAAAGAGAUAUACAUCCAAAUUAGGGAGUGUGUUCUCUGUAUAAAGAAAGACUUUCCAUUGAUUCUGUCUUUUUUCCCCCCCUCCUCCUUGCCAGGUGGCUGGAGGAGUCUUCCAGUGAGCUUCCUAAGGGUUCCUCCCUUAAGAUAAAAGCUGCUGUUGCUCAGACCUCCGUCCCGUUGUCUUAGGCAGAGGGAGAGGGCCAGGGAGCGAGGACAAGGGCAGGACUUCCCAGCUCCUUCAAGCCAACUUGAAGCAAAAGAGGCUAAGCUGUCCCUGCUCUCCGUAGCAGAGCACAAGGACUCUUUGAGGCGCCUAUGAAGAACACCGGGAAACCAGAGUCGGGGGGCUCCUCUCUGUCCGGCAAUGAACGGGGGGCCUCGGAGGAGGUUGUGGAAGAGAUGUGCCUGGACCUCCCCACCCGCGAAGCCAGCAGCAUCCCUCCGGUGCGUCCACCGAAGAAGACAUCCUACAGCCUGGAGCUCUUCCGCACCAGGAGGAAUAUCCGCUGGUUCCAGAUCCCCUUGUCCUCUUUAAGGAAGCCCAAAGCCGGUCUGUUCAGCUUCACCUUUCAGUCCAGCCUGCAAGAGUACCAGCAGCUUCGGAAGGCCAAGAGGCUGAAGGUCGGCCAGCCGUUUUCCAUCCUACCUCUCCCCAGAUUGCCCGCAUUGCUCACGGACAGCUCUCAGAGAGCAUCCCACAAGCGGCGUGACAAUCGCAGACCCUCGGGAGCUGGAGAAGCAAAAGGCAGCAAAAGGCUUUCAUCUCAUAGAGAAGAACCUCAGACGUUUUCUCAACGAAUGCACAAGAGGCAUCGGACAUGCAGUUCAUCCGCUCGCUCUUCACAGAGGCGUGUCUCCCAUCCCAAAACCCUUGGUCAGCUGCAGGGCGAGGAACCUGGUAGCAGCUGCAGCAAGAAGCAGGAGCAGGUAGACCCUGGACGCUUUGAGCAGGACCUGCAUUUUGAUGCUCCUGGCCCCUCUCGUUCCUCGUCCUGCAGCAGCUGGCCCCUAGCAGAGGCCGCCGGAGGCGACAGUGGCUUCGGGAGGUGGGUCGGUGCCUCCUCUCCGCUGGAAGAAGAGGACUACGAAUUUCCUCCAGACUGGAGCCCACCACGGAUAGAAUUCCUGUAUGAUAGGGGUCCACCUCCUCUGAGCCCUGCCCCAGGGCCUGACCCCGAGUCUCCAAGCUCCAGAGAGAUGGCAGAGGUCUCCACCUGGCCAGCUGAACCUCCAGUGCUGGAGCUCACCGCCGAAGCUUUCUCACCAGCAGGAGGAGGGCACGUGCAUUCCUGGGGAGGACCCUUCAUCCAGCCACGCAAGGAGUGUGAAAGUAGAGGGCGGGCAAGUCUGGAACAUCCUGUGUCAGUCUUUUGUCAAGCGGUAAAUGAGGAGCGAGAAGGAGCCACCCUGGGGAAUGAAAUCCAAAUGGAGGACGGGAAGGCCUUUGGUGUUGGAGAACAUCCACCGUUACUGUCUCCCAUUCAUCCACGGGCAGCGUCAUCCCCUGUCUGCCUUAGAAGCGGCCUCUCAACGGUCUCUGUUGAGUUUUCUAGAGAUCUGGAGAGCCCAAACUCUGAGUCAGAGGAGGAAGGAGACCAGGGGCCAGAGUCUCCCGCUUCAUCGAUCCCCACCCAUCUCCUGAUAGCAUCGUCCAGGACGUCCUCCAGAUGCAGCCUCUCGGCAUCCUCCAACGAGCUCUCUGAGGGCCCCGAGGGGCUGACCCAGGAUGCGGCCAUGGAAGAGGGUCCUGAUGACAGCGGCCUCCUGCCCCUCAAACAGCUCCUGCAGAUGAGCAGCAUGGAUCUCGGGGCUGUGGAACCCCACACCAGGUUCCUCCCUUCACGUUCCGAUGGUUAUCUCCGCAGCCUCGAUCAGCUCCUGGAGGAGAGAAGGAAGCAAACCUGGGAGGACGAACAGCUGGAGAGAAACCUGGGGGAGAAGCUGUCGCUCCUCAGCCCACUCAGUUCAGGGGAAGUGCCUGGACAAGGGGAAGCGCCCCUUCCUGAAGCUCACAGAUUGAUCCUUGAACAGUUUUCCAUCCCUCGUGACACAAUCCCAGCGGUGCACCCUGGUGAAAACAUUUUUGGGCCGCCCGGCUACGACCCGAGGACUCCCGUGGCCCUGGACGCUUCUGGAUUGAAGCCACGGAAUCAGCUGGAGCACCUUUUCUUCAGGUGAGUUUCCUGUGUUGGCUGUUGGGUAUAGUGUAACCUGAGCUGGCUGAAUAGGUUUGGAAGCCACGGAAUCAGCUGGAGCACCUUUUCUUCAGGUGAGUUUCGUGUGUUAGCUGUUGGGUAUAGCGUAACCUGAGCUGGCUGGAUAGGUUUGGGUCUCCGGCUGCAGAGCCGGAGUUCGAUUCCCUCACUGGGAAGGG